RNAcentral lists this ribosomal RNA (453 nucleotides) under uncultured Planctomycetota bacterium. Its description in RNAcentral is "bacterial SSU rRNA". It matches the Rfam family "Bacterial small subunit ribosomal RNA", at positions 384 to 827 of the family's 1533-position model. The record is from RNAcentral. Lineage: Bacteria; Pseudomonadati; Planctomycetota.
UGACGAAGCGACGCCGCGUGAGCGAAGAAGGCCCUAGGGUUGUAAAGCUCUGUCGGGGGUUAUGAAAUGCAGGUUGGUUAAUACCCAACCUGUUUGACAAAGGCCCCAAAGGAAGCCACGGCUAACUCUGUGCCAGCAGCCGCGGUAAUACAGAGGUGGCAAGCGUUGUUCGGUAUUAUUGGGCGUAAAGAGCACGUAGGUGGUUUUGUAAGUCAGAUGUGAAAGCCUUCUGUUCAAAGGAAGAACGGCAUCUGAAACUGCAGAUCUUGAGUGUAGGAGGGGAGAGUGGAACUUCUGGUGGAGCGGUGAAAUGCGUAGAUAUCAGAAGGAACGUCGGCGGCGAAAGCGACUCUCUGGCCUAUUACUGACACUGAGUGUGCGAAAGUUAGGGGAGCAAACGGGAUUAGAUACCCCGGUAGUCCUAACUGUAAGCGAUGGGCACUAAGUAGAGGG